GAUGGAUCAAAAAGCAAAGCCGUUUAACUUCAAGCGCAUUACAUACUACACGAUUUCAGUGAGCCGAUAUGAGCCGAGAUGAGUCGAUAUGAGCUGAUCAGAGCCGAGAGAGCAAUAAAGUCAGAUUUCUCUGACGCCAUCCAUUAGUUUACUCCCGGAACCUACUAAGCACGCAGAUAAAAAUAAAAUAUUCAUUCAUUUAAU
RNAcentral lists this long non-coding RNA (204 nucleotides) under Carica papaya (papaya). RNAcentral's name for it is "long non-coding RNA (CPAP_LNC001240)". Lineage: Eukaryota; Viridiplantae; Streptophyta; Magnoliopsida; Brassicales; Caricaceae. The record is from RNAcentral.